RNAcentral lists this ribosomal RNA (294 nucleotides) under uncultured bacterium. RNAcentral's name for it is "partial 16S ribosomal RNA". It matches the Rfam family "Bacterial small subunit ribosomal RNA", at positions 775 to 1067 of the family's 1533-position model. The record is from RNAcentral.
GGAUUAGAUACCCUGGUAGUCCGCGCUGUAAACGAUGAGAACUGGGUGUUGGGGGAGUUAAGUCCUUCGGUGCCGAAGCCAACGCGAUAAGUUCUCCGCCUGGGGAGUACGGCCGCAAGGUUGAAACUCAAAGGAAUUGACGGGGGCCCGCACAAGCGGUGGAGCAUGUGGUUUAAUUCGAUGCAACGCGAAGAACCUUACCUGCCCUUGACAUCCUCGGAACUGGUGAGAGAUUGCCGGGUGCCUUCGGGAGCCGAGAGACAGGUGCUGCAUGGCUGUCGUCAGCUCGUGCUG